CAAUAGGAUAUAUCAAAGUUGUUGCAGUUGAAAAGCUCGUAGUCGUAUUUCUGGUGGGUAGAAGUCUUUGACAGUGUUAUGAAAAUUAGCUCGGUGCAAUGGCCGCCUGCCAUUUUGUGGGCUCAAGUGGCCAUGUUUACGUUCACUCAUGGACAUGGUCGCUCCACUCCGUCACUGAGAGCAAAUUGGAGUGCUCAAAGCAAGCUUUAUAGCUUUGAACAUCUUAGCUUGGAAUGACAAAGUAUGAUUUUCGGUUCACUUUGUUGGUUAUGAAUUGGGGAUAAUGGUAGAGAGGAACGGUUGCGGGGGUACUCGUACUGGGAAGUCAGAGGUGAAAUUCUUAGAUUUUCCCACGACGAACGACUGCGAAAGCAUUUACCAAGGAUGUUUUCAUUGAUCAAGAACGAAAGUUAGGGGAUCGAAGACGAUUAGAUACCAU
Molecule: ribosomal RNA, 439 nt
Filed under: uncultured eukaryote
Lineage: Eukaryota
Description: bacterial SSU rRNA
Rfam family: Eukaryotic small subunit ribosomal RNA
Source: RNAcentral